GGGUAUAGACCCGAAACCCGGUGAUCUAGCCAUGGGCAGGUUGAAGGUUGGGUAACACUAACUGGAGGACCGAACCGACUAAUGUUGAAAAAUUAGCGGAUGACCUGUGGCUGGGGGUGAAAGGCCAAUCAAACCGGGAGAUAGCUGGUUCUCCCCGAAAGCUAUUUAGGUAGCGCCUCGUGAAUUCAUCUCCGGGGGUAGAGCACUGUUUCGGCCAGGGGGCCAUCCCGGCUUACCAAUCCGAUGCAAACUGCGAAUACCGGAGAAUGUUAUCACGGGAGACACACGGCGGGUGCUAACGUCCGUCGUGAAGAGGGAAACAACCCAGACCGCCAGCUAAGGUCCCAAAGUCAUGGUUAAGUGGGAAACGAUGUGGGAAGGCCCAGACAGCCAGGAUGUUGGCUUAGAAGCAGCCAUCAUUUAAAGAAAGCGUAAUAGCUCACUGGUCGAGUCGGCCUGCGCGGAAGAUGUAACGGGGCUAAACCAU
RNAcentral lists this ribosomal RNA (487 nucleotides) under Salmonella enterica. RNAcentral describes it as "partial 23S ribosomal RNA". It matches the Rfam family "Bacterial large subunit ribosomal RNA", at positions 705 to 1190 of the family's 2925-position model. Lineage: Bacteria; Pseudomonadati; Pseudomonadota; Gammaproteobacteria; Enterobacterales; Enterobacteriaceae. The record is from RNAcentral.